UACGGAGGGUGCGAGCGUUAUCCGGAAUUACUGGGUUUAAAGGGUGCGUAGGCGGCUAUGUAAGUCAGGGGUGAAAGUUUGCGGCUCAACCGUAAAAUUGCUUUUGAUACUGCAUGGCUAGAAUCAGGAUGAGGUUAGCGGAAUGUGGCAUGUAGCGGUGAAAUGCAUAGAUAUGCCAUAGAACACCAAUUGCGAAGGCAGCUGGCUAGACCUGCAUUGACGCUGAGGCACGAAAGCGUGGGGAGCGAACAGG
This 253-nucleotide ribosomal RNA is filed under the name uncultured bacterium. RNAcentral's name for it is "partial 16S ribosomal RNA". It matches the Rfam family "Bacterial small subunit ribosomal RNA", at positions 524 to 776 of the family's 1533-position model. The record is from RNAcentral.